Molecule: small RNA, 87 nt
Organism: Jeotgalibacillus soli
Lineage: Bacteria; Bacillati; Bacillota; Bacilli; Caryophanales; Caryophanaceae
Rfam family: BsrC
About the family: The 301 nucleotide sequence from Kouji Nakamura has been trimmed to a highly conserved ~85 nucleotide long core to form this family.
Source: Rfam
AACACCUAAGACAACGAAAGCCCUACCUCUCUUUCGUCCUUACGGCUCCUCGACCGUGCCAGUGUGAAUCAGACAUUACUACAAUAA